RNAcentral lists this small nucleolar RNA (185 nucleotides) under Candida albicans. Lineage: Eukaryota; Fungi; Ascomycota; Pichiomycetes; Serinales; Debaryomycetaceae. RNAcentral also lists the same sequence under 1 other name. The record is from RNAcentral.
ACGCCUUGUGCCUCGCUCGGUUCGAUUUUUGUUUACUAGUUGAGUCUUGAGCUGGAUACUUUCAGUUUAUACUAAAGUAAUAGGCAAUAGUAAUAUCGUAAAAGAUUUUCUUUGAGUGCGAUAACACCAAGGUUUUCCUACAAGGAUGCUGGAUGGUGGUAUUGUAAUUAUAAAUCUUUACAUUA